Molecule: ribosomal RNA, 560 nt
Filed under: marine sediment bacterium BB0608_2216_3.2_8G0
Lineage: Bacteria
Description: bacterial SSU rRNA
Rfam family: Bacterial small subunit ribosomal RNA
Source: RNAcentral
GGGAACGAUAACGGCGUCGAGCGGCGGACGGGUGAGUAAUGCCUAGGAAAUUGCCCUGAUGUGGGGGAUAACCAUUGGAAACGAUGGCUAAUACCGCAUGAUGCCUACGGGCCAAAGAGGGGGACCUUCGGGCCUCUCGCGUCAGGAUAUGCCUAGGUGGGAUUAGCUAGUUGGUGAGGUAAGGGCUCACCAAGGCGACGAUCCCUAGCUGGUCUGAGAGGAUGAUCAGCCACACUGGAACUGAGACACGGUCCAGACUCCUACGGGAGGCAGCAGUGGGGAAUAUUGCACAAUGGGCGCAAGCCUGAUGCAGCCAUGCCGCGUGUAUGAAGAAGGCCUUCGGGUUGUAAAGUACUUUCAGUCGUGAGGAAGGCGGCGUCGUUAAUAGCGGCGUUGUUUGACGUUAGCGACAGAAGAAGCACCGGCUAACUCCGUGCCAGCAGCCGCGGUAAUACGGAGGGUGCGAGCGUUAAUCGGAAUUACUGGGCGUAAAGCGCAUGCAGGUGGUUUGUUAAGUCAGAUGUGAAAGCCCGGGGCUCAACCUCGGAAUAGCAUUUGAA